This 466-nucleotide ribosomal RNA is filed under the name Vreelandella stevensii. RNAcentral's name for it is "partial 16S ribosomal RNA". It matches the Rfam family "Bacterial small subunit ribosomal RNA", at positions 338 to 795 of the family's 1533-position model. The record is from RNAcentral. Lineage: Bacteria; Pseudomonadati; Pseudomonadota; Gammaproteobacteria; Oceanospirillales; Halomonadaceae.
CCUACGGGGGGGCUGCAGUGGGGAAUAUUGGACAAUGGGGGGAACCCUGAUCCAGCCAUGCCGCGUGUGUGAAGAAGGCCCUCGGGUUGUAAAGCACUUUCAGUGAGGAAGAACGCCUGGUGGUUAAUACCCAUCAGGAAAGACAUCACUCACAGAAGAAGCACCGGCUAACUCCGUGCCAGCAGCCGCGGUAAUACGGAGGGUGCGAGCGUUAAUCGGAAUUACUGGGCGUAAAGCGCGCGUAGGUGGCUUGAUAAGCCGGUUGUGAAAGCCCCGGGCUCAACCUGGGAACGGCAUCCGGAACUGUCAAGCUAGAGUGCAGGAGAGGAAGGUAGAAUUCCCGGUGUAGCGGUGAAAUGCGUAGAGAUCGGGAGGAAUACCAGUGGCGAAGGCGGCCUUCUGGACUGACACUGACACUGAGGUGCGAAAGCGUGGGUAGCAAACAGGAUUAGAUACCCCAGUAGUC